RNAcentral lists this ribosomal RNA (406 nucleotides) under uncultured bacterium. Its description in RNAcentral is "partial 16S ribosomal RNA". It matches the Rfam family "Bacterial small subunit ribosomal RNA", at positions 29 to 526 of the family's 1533-position model. The record is from RNAcentral.
AUUGAACGCUGGCGGCAUGCCUAACACAUGCAAGUCGAGCGAGCGGCGGACGGGUGAGUAAUGUCUGGGUAACUGCCUGAUGGAGGGGGAUAACUACUGGAAACGGUAGCCAAUACCGCAUACCAUCAGAUGUGCCCAGAUGGGAUUAGCUGGUAGGCGGGGUAACGGCGCACCUAGGCGACGAUCCCUAGCUGGUCUGCGAGGAUGACCAGCCACACUGUAACUGAGACACGGUCCAGACUCCUACGGGAGGCAGCGGUGGGGAAUAUUGCACAAGGGGCGCAAGCCUGAUGCAGCAAGGCCGCGGGUGUGAAGAAGGCCUUCGAGUUGUAAAGCACUUUCAUCGGGGAGGCGUUACCCGCAGAAGAAGCACCGGCUAACUCCGUGCCAGCAGCCGCGGUAAUAC